GUCUUCGUGGCUCAGUUGGCUAGAGCGUUGGUCUCAUAUUCGUAUGACCCAGUUGAACAUUGGGAUAUCCAAAGGUCGUGAGUUCGAGCCUCACCGAGGACA
RNAcentral lists this transfer RNA (102 nucleotides) under Nemania sp. FL0916. RNAcentral describes it as "tRNA-Met". It matches the Rfam family "tRNA". From Rfam's summary of the family: Transfer RNA (tRNA) molecules are approximately 80 nucleotides in length. Their secondary structure includes four short double-helical elements and three loops (D, anti-codon, and T loops). The record is from RNAcentral. Lineage: Eukaryota; Fungi; Ascomycota; Sordariomycetes; Xylariales; Xylariaceae.